GAUGAACGCUGGCGGCGUGCCUAACACAUGCAAGUCGAGCGGGCUUGUUGUGCUUGCACAACAAGUUAGCGGCGGACGGGUGAGUAACGCGUGGAUAAUCUGCCCUAUGCAGGGGGACAACAGCUAGAAAUGGCUGCUAAAACCGCAUAAGUCUAAUUUAUGGCAUCAUAGGUUAGGGAAAUAUUUAUAGGCAUAGGAGGAGUCUGCGUCUGAUUAGCUAGUUGGCGGGGUAAAAGCUCACCAAGGCGACGAUCAGUAGCCGGCCUGAGAGGGUGAACGGCCACAUUGGGACUGAGACACGGCCCAAACUCCUACGGGAGGCAGCAGUGGGGAAUAUUGCACAAUGGGGGAAACCCUGAUGCAGCAACGCCGCGUGAAGGAAGAAGGCUUUCGGGUUGUAAACUUCUUUAGGCUGGGAAGAAAAGAAUGACGGUACCAGCAGAAUAAGCCCCGGCUAACUACGUGCCAGCAGCCGCGGUAAUACGUAGGGGGCAAGCGUUAUCCGGAAUUACUGGGUGUAAAGGGUGAGUAGGCGGUUAGGAAAGUCAUAUGUGAAAGCCCCGGGCUCAACCUGGGGAUUGCAUAAGAAACUUUUUAACUAGAGUACAGGAGAGGUAAGUGGAAUUCCUAGUGUAGCGGUGAAAUGCGUAGAUAUUAGGAAGAACACCAGUGGCGAAGGCGGCUUACUGGACUGAAACUGACGCUGAGUCACGAAAGCGUGGGUAGCAAACAGGAUUAGAUACCCUGGUAGUCCACGCUGUAAACGAUGAGUGCUAGGUGUUGGGGCGAGAGCCUCGGUGCCGUAGCUAACGCAAUAAGCACUCCACCUGGGGAGUACGGUCGCAAGAUUGAAACUCAAAGGAAUUGACGGGGGCCCGCACAAGCGGUGGAGCAUGUGGUUUAAUUCGAAGCAACGCGAAGAACCUUACCAAGGCUUGACAUCCCUUUGAAAAGUGUAGAGAUACGCUCCCUCUUCGGAGCAAAGGUGACAGGUGGUGCAUGGUUGUCGUCAGCUCGUGUCGUGAGAUGUUGGGUUAAGUCCCGCAACGAGCGCAACCCUUGCCUUUAGUAGCCAUCAUUAAGUUGGGCACACUAGAGGGACUGCCGUGGAUAACACGGAGGAAGGCGGGGACGACGUCAAAUCAUCAUGCCCCUUAUGUCUUGGGCAACACACGUGCUACAAUGGGUAUUACAAAGUGAAGCGAAGCCGCGAGGAUUAGCAAAGCACAAAAAGGUACCCUCAGUUCGGAUUGUAGUCUGCAACCCGACUACAUGAAGUUGGAAUCGCUAGUAAUCGCGAAUCAGCAUGUCGCGGUGAAUACGUUCCCGGGC
RNAcentral lists this ribosomal RNA (1332 nucleotides) under uncultured Eubacteriaceae bacterium. RNAcentral's name for it is "bacterial SSU rRNA". It matches the Rfam family "Bacterial small subunit ribosomal RNA", at positions 28 to 1379 of the family's 1533-position model. The record is from RNAcentral. Lineage: Bacteria; Bacillati; Bacillota; Clostridia; Eubacteriales; Eubacteriaceae.